AAACCCAAAAUAAGAAAAGAAUCUCUCCCUAAUAUCAUUAUCUCUCCUCUCUUCUCUCUUCUCUCUUCGGCCGCAGGUCUCCGAUGGCGCCGUUGACUCAGUCUGUCCUCAGCCUCCUCUCCGCCGCUUUCCUCCUUGGCUUCCUCUCUGAUCCGGCCGCUGCUCGUCCCUGCAAAACCCUUUUCAUCUCCUCCUACUCCGUAUCCUUCCACCCCAAUUUCCCCGAUCAAAAUAACCCUAACUCCGCAGGCACCGCCGGAAUUCUCACGAUUUUCACUGAGAUCCGGCAAUUUAACCCCCGUCCGCCGCUCACCUUCGUCGACGCCGUCGAGGAUCAGCACCCGAUCGAGCGUCCGCCGCGAUUUGGCCUCGGUCUAGGGUUCGACUCCGACUCCCUCCGCGACCGCACCAAGGACGUGCUCAGCGUUGUUGUGGCGCUGCUCUUCGGCGUCGGCUGUGGCGCUCUCACCGCCGCAACCAUGUACUUGGGUUGGUCGCUCUUCUCCAACCGCCACCGCUACUCCGACUUCGAUUACGAUGACUUUGAGGAUGAUGACGUUGACAUGAGCCCUAAGAAGGUGGGCUAUGUGAGGAUCCCUCCUCCUGCUGAUGCCUCUACUCCCGUGGCAAAAGAGGCGGUAUGAGGCACAGAAAAAUUAGGGUUUUAAUGCUUAAUGCCUAGUGUUUUGCGUUUCUGAACCAGGUGCUAUUUGCUAUGUUAUUAUGAAUUAUAUUGCUAAAAAUGUGGGUACUUAUAUGGUUUUGUGUUUCUCAAUCACAUCUAUAACUAUGCUUUGUGUAUAUUUAUCAUCUAAUACAUUGAAUGCUUGUUUUAUUUAAUUUUUUUCUUUCGCUUGGGCUUCGAUUAUUUGGAAGGAAAAAUUGUUCUCUGACAUAUGUUCGAUUAAUCUUCUUUUUUUUUUUGUAUGAGAAGCUUUUUGGUUGAAACAAAUGGGGCCUUGGUCUGGUUUCUUUUAUUUAAUUGCAGGUUGUAUACCUUAAGGUUGAUGGUGCGGUGAUUUUGUAGUUUUCCUAAAGUUGAUGAUUGCGUAAUUUUGCCCUUUUGUCGGAGUUUGUUGUAGUAGAUGAUGUUGUGAUUUUGUAGUUUUGCACGAAUGAUCGACUACUUUUUUCCAUUAUCUUUAUGUGUUGUGACCAAAUUUUUAACAUGCUUGAUUUUCAGCAAGUGUUUGUGAAAAUAGCAAGAUUUUGGCCAUAGGCUGUUUCAGGGAAGGGGAUUGCAUUUUCAUUUUAGUUUUCAUUCUUUUGCUUUACUCCCUUUAGCAGGUGAAGUAGUGACCAUGCGUCCUUUUGUUUUCCAUAAUGAGAUUGACUUGUAUUGAGAUAUAGCUAUUGGAUAUAUAUUUUUCGGGCACUUAAUAAUAUUAUGUUCAAUCUAUUGAUGAAAUUUAGUAAUAUAUAUAUAUAUAUAUAUAUACAUAUAUAUCUCAUAUGGAAAAUUGACACGACAUUGUCUUGUCAACACUUAUUGAUGGAACUGUUUUUCACUAAAAAAUUCCCGAGGCUGUACUCAUUUUUCUGGAGCUGCAACCACUCUCCAACUAUCAAAUGCCUCUUUCAGCUUCGAUUUAGAACUUAACUUUCUAAUAAGAGAUUUUUGUUGCAUAGAAACUUAAGGAUGGAUUCCUUAUGUUGCAUGAGCAUUCAAGGCAGAUCUUCAAAUCAACUUGGCUAUCAUUUUUCAAUUAUUUUUUUUAUGCUUUAUUUUACUUUUUAAAGAAAUUAUAUUAAUUUCCUUGUCUUUAUGUGGUAUAAAUGACCAGGAUUAUAAAAGAUUGAUAUAUUUUUAGUAAUGAGGAGCCUACAUUAUAUAUUAACAUAGGCUUCGAAUUGAAUUAAAGGCCUUUCUAGAAUCAGGGGUAGGAUUAUGUAUGGGAUAGUGUUCUUUCUAGGAAGAUUACUGUUCUUUCUAUUUUAGUUUUUUUUUUCUUUGGGGGGUUGGUUUGGUCGAGUAUUCUUCUGGUUUUGUACUUGUUUUCCUUCUUUGCAUCACCUCUAGUAGUCUUGUAUCUUGCAAUAGCAUCCCAAAUUCACAAUUACAUGUUUGGUGAUUUUCAUGUGGCUUUGCAUGUGUGGUUCCUAGUAGGAACAUUAGAAGGAAAGUGGCCAAUCUUUUUGACAGACCUGGUAAUACUGUAAUGAAGAGAAACAAAUAGAAAGGAGUAAAAGGAAAUCAACAAACACCUUGGUGUCAAUGUAACAUAGUAACUUUCCAUGACCAUACAGUAAAUCCGGUAAUCUUUCGGGGGUUUUAGCAUGUCCAUGAACUGUCUUAAAAUUCUAGAGUGGGACUUCCAGUUCAAGAUAAUGGCAAAAGUAACAGAAUGAUGUUAAGUGAAGUACUAACUGACUUGGAACUUCAUUGUCGUGGCUCCCUAAUUAUUAGGGAGCAGGUCUUAUAGUUUUUACAGUGGAGGUUAUUAUGCUUGGGAAAGGUUUCUCUAUCAUCCAAUAGUCAAUAAGGCCUGUUUUCUUAAUAGUUAAAGUGAUGUUGAGGGAGUCCUAGAGGCAUUUGAGCUAAAGAUUGGAGAUCAUGAUCUGUUGUACAAGAUGUUUGGAAGAUGCUCAAAGAACUGAUUCAGAGAUCAGGAUAUUUCAGACCUGUCCAGAAGGCAAUAUGGUUGCAUAUUUGAAGCCAAAUUAGGCACAGCUAGCUUAGGAAUUUUAUUUGGGCUUGCGGCUUUCCAAGUGGGGUCAUUCUGCAUCUUGCCCAUGAUCUUUUAGGCUGGGCGUUUCCCCAUUCUUUUUCUGUUUGUGAUGGGAUCUGUGAAAUGGUAUUUUAUGAAAGAAGAAAAUGCGACAAGCACAUAAUGAAGCUUUGUCUUAAAAAUUCUUUGAAAUUUUUAAGGGAACCUUUGAGGCAUGGAAAUAAUUAGCUGCAGAAGGUUUCUAUGGGAUUUACAGUCACAGAAGAAUGCAUUGAAAGUAUGUUCCAUCACUCAAAUGUUUGUCAUGCUGCUUGUAAUUCUAUUUCAGCCAGGAUUCUAUUGACUAUGCAGUAAAUACAUCAUUAUGCUCCGGUUGUUGGUGCUAGAAUUCCUUAUGGGGUUUGUCCAUUCAAAUUAGAUGUUGAGAUUUUUCCUUAUAAGAGAUAUCACUGUUUUGGCACAUUCAUUAGUUUGAGGUGAUUUUGACCUUUUAAUUAAUUGUAUUUUGGGAGUGCUUCUGAUGUCAAUGCAAUUAGUGGUUUUUGAUUAUCCUGAACUUGAUAAGGAGUUGUUUACCUGUAAUUUUGCUCGAACUGUUGCUUACACCAGUUGUUCAGGGUUAAACCAGCUUUGUUUCAGUAUUUUGCUUCAUUUAGGGCCUAAAUGUAUGCCAUACCAUACAUGGGUACUUUUAGGGUAAUGCUGACAAGGAGUUAACUAAAGGCUUCACUAGUUAUUAGCCUAAUAGAAACCUUUUCCUGUGUUGCUGUUGUUUAUCUACUCUAUUAGAGAUUGGAAUCUUUACAAUCUGUCUGCUCUGUGCUAAGAAUAACUUUCUUAGAGCCAAAUGCAGAUAAAUUGAGUGGAGAGAUCUACACCUGCACUUUCUGUUUUGUUGACUGAUUCGGCCUUUCUAAAUUUCCUUCAUGGUUGAGGCAAUUUGCAAGAUAAUUUCUGAGGUGGUGGUGGGGGCCCCUUGUUCCACAAUUUCCAUGUUUGUUUCCCCCUGAUUCUAAGUUGAAGUUUAGAGUAACUGUGGUUGAGUGGGUUGUAUUUGUCUUGAAAUUCGCAAUCUGAGAUGUAAUCUGGCAAAAUAAAUACUAGAUUUAGGUAGGUGGUGAACUCAUAGCAGCUGCUAAUAAGGACUCUUGCGUUCUUUUCAGUCAACUUUUAUGUGAGGCAUUAUGGAAAACUGUCUUGAGUCUCACUGGACUUCAUUUCCUGUUUGACUAUAAACUAGACAAUUAAUUUUCCACUUGGUGAAUAGAAAAAUAUACAGGGGAAAAAUAAUUUGGAUCUAGUAUUUGCCUCAUUUCCACUGAGAAAGCACUCCUUUGGCUAGCUUUGGGGAUUUGAUGAAUGGACAAUCUAGAGAGUUGCUGUGUUCUUAAAACAUUGGAUUCAAUUUAGAAUGCUGAGAUUUGAGUGAUCUUAUGUGCUGUUGGUGGUGCUUAUGCCAAUGUAAGGGAAAUAUGAUGCAGUGUUAGGAAUAGAAUUGAGAUGUGAAUAUGCAAUAGGAUUAUAUUUUGGGAGUAUGUGUGUGGAGCAAUAUGGCUCUGAUUGUGCUGACUUCGAAUGUAGGAGGUUGUUCAAGGAAAACAGGUUUUUGUUAUGUGUUUGUCAGGGUGAAUUGAAGAGACACAAGACUCUGUUGUCAUUCUUUCCUGUAGGAUUCAGCUGCAUAACCCCUGAUCUUAGUACUAGUACUGUGCUUCUCAUUCUACUCCAGUACACAGAGUUCGAGAUUUAGAUCUGAAUCUGUUGAUGUAUGAUAUGUCAAAAUCUUGAAGCAAUUGUCUUGAAAAGGAUUAGUGAUUAUAUGCGUUGCAUGCUGAAACUUCAAUAAGUAAAUUUAUACUCUGAAGAUCAUAAAGCAAAUGAAGCAAAUAUAUAAAAUAUAGCAAUGAUUCAAUUGUUAUACAGUUUCAAAAGAUCCAUCUAAAUAAUUAAAUCUAUAGAAUAUAGCAAAGUAUCCAUCUUGAAACAGGAAAAAACACAACCCCUUGUGCAAUCAAACUGCACAAUAGUGUUUGAAUGGAAACUAACCAUUCUGAAGCUCAAAUUGAUUGUACUGCCAUGUUUAUAUUGAUUAUUGUGAGCUAUAAUUGAUUAUGUAAGGAUGUUGGUGGCUGAUAAAAAAUUGAAAUGAAGCCUUAGAGUUGAAGGAGAGUUUUGGAAACUUUUACAAAUCUGUUUUGAAUGGGAAAGAAUAUUAAUUUUGUUUUUCUUAUUAUUAGUGGGAAAUCUUUGUUGGAUUUUUUUUUUUUUCUUUUCCUGAAAUUUUCAAUGUCUUUGUAGGGUAACUUCAUCCGAAGAAUCUUUUAUUGCUAUUCUGGAUUUUAAUUGCAGUAUAGGUAGGAUGCCCAAACUCAGACCCAAGUCCCCACUUGUCAGCAUUGUGAUGGACUCCAGCACAAUUAGUAUAGCAGGGGAAGGACAAUGGGAGCCUCUUGGCACCUUGAAUUUGCAUUUGGUCAAGUUUCAGUCAACAAUUUUUGCAGGCUGAUAUUUGACCAUCUGAGCAUGCAUUUGGUUUGUAACACAAGAUAUUGUACUGUUGACCAGCUGAGUAGGUAAUUGGUAAAGAGCACAUCCCUGGUAAUCCCACUGUUUAUUCCUUAUUUUAUGCAAGGCAUUUUCUGUUAGUCCAGGGUCGAGGCUGCUUCUCAUUCCCCUGCUUUUGUUUCCUUGAAAAUGGCUUUGUUCCUAUGGACCAUUCUGCUUUCUUGUAUUAUCAAGUGCAAUCUGCAUUCUUGUAUUAGAAGAAUGAGGACAUUAAGGAACUGAAGCACCACAAUAAGAUGUCAUGUUCCCCUUUAGUUUCUAGAUGUGCCUCAGCUGUUAGUCUCUUUAUGCUAUGCAUAUUCAUAUUGUUCCCACCCUCUUUGGGCCUCUCACUCAGAAAUUUGCUCAUUAUCUGCCAAACUCCUCCAACCCCCAAGAUGAGAAUUUCAGUUUUCUACAUCCUGAAAUCAUAAGGCACUGAGUUAUGCAAACUAGGGGGAAGAGAGCUGUAUAUGGUUAAAUGCUGAAAAGCUGUGCUUGUUUUGGGUAGCAUAACUAGAACUAAAACAAAGCAAAUAGCAUCUUCUUUUCAAUAGCCCCCACUAGUCUUUUCAAGUGUUUACAUACCUACAUUUUGAUUUGCCUUGGCAUUUGAAUGGCAUAACAAAGCUGCUGAUGCUGCCCCUUCAUGACCAUUAACAUAAACCCUUGCGAGCUACACUUGCUAUUCUUUCUGCUAAUUUCUAGUUUCAAAUGCAACAAAAGGUCAAAAUAGGUCUGUAUGAUUUGCUGGAUAUUAGAGAAGCCAUGUAGUUGAUUUGCUCAAUUGUGUCUUUAUCCGUUGAAGAAAUACAGUUUCUAACAAGAUGAAUUAUAUCUUCACGAACUUACAACACUAGAUGAGCCUUAAGAUUUCGAGAACUCCUCUGUUAAGCACUGGAAAUACACUAAUUAAUUGUAUGAACGUAUUUUUUUUUAGAAAUUUGUUAGUUGGGGGGAUCGCAGAUCGAUUAGGAAAAGAUGUUUUCAGCAUUUCUACUGUGCUUUAUUUUUUAAGCUUAUAGAAGUAUUUUAAAGCUACUGGGAUUUUGAACAUAUGAGAGGAGUUUUAGAUUAAAAAUAAAUUAACUAUUUUAACUUAAUAUUUAAAAUUAUUUUUAUUUUAAAUUAUAAUAUUAAGUUUUUUUACCAAUCGCAGUUAAUAUAUUUAAUGACUUAAAUUAAGUCAUUAAACCAUUAAGUUGAUUUACCAAACAAUUCACUAAAUGUCACAAAACCAUACCAAAAACAAGCAUUCCACACUAUGUGUAAUGAGAAAGCAUAAAUUGCCUGAUCAUUAGCUUCCAUACACUCUCAUUGC
RNAcentral lists this long non-coding RNA (6534 nucleotides) under Vitis vinifera (wine grape). RNAcentral describes it as "long non-coding RNA (VVIN_LNC007471)". The record is from RNAcentral. Lineage: Eukaryota; Viridiplantae; Streptophyta; Magnoliopsida; Vitales; Vitaceae.